RNAcentral lists this ribosomal RNA (520 nucleotides) under uncultured Glomus. Its description in RNAcentral is "SSU rRNA". It matches the Rfam family "Eukaryotic small subunit ribosomal RNA", at positions 569 to 1092 of the family's 1831-position model. The record is from RNAcentral. Lineage: Eukaryota; Fungi; Glomeromycota; Glomeromycetes; Glomerales; Glomeraceae.
AGCAGCCGCGGUAAUUCCAGCUCCAAUAGCGUAUAUUAAAGUUGCUGCAGUUAAAAAGCUCGUAGUUGAAUUUCGGGACCAAUAUGUCGUCGUGCCUCGGUACGUACUGGCAUCGUUGGUUUCUCCCUUCUGACGAACCAUGAUGUCAUUCAUUUGGUGUCGUGAGGAAUCAGAACUGUUACUUUGAAAAAAUUAGAGUGUUUAAAGCAGGCUCACGCUUGAAUACAUUAGCAUGGAAUAAUGAAAUAGGACGUUUGAUUCUAUUUUGUUGGUUUCUAGGAUCGACGUAAUGAUUAAUAGGGAUAGUUGGGGGCAUUAGUAUUCAAUUGUCAGAGGUGAAAUUCUUGGAUUUAUUGAAGACUAACUACUGCGAAAGCAUUUGCCAAGGAUGUUUUCAUUAAUCAAGAACGAAAGUUAGGGGAUCGAAGACGAUCAGAUACCGUCGUAGUCUUAACCAUAAACUAUGCCGACUAGGGAUCGGAUGAUGUUAAUUUUUUAAUGACUCAUUCGGCGCCUUACG